AAGAAAGGUAGGCUGUGUGCGGCCCGCGGGGCCUCCGGGGAGGGAGAACUAUGGGGUCCCGGCUUAGUCAGCACUCCAGAGAAAGCCUGGGUAAGGGACCAGGGAGACCCUUGGGCCUGGCAGGGGGAAUCUUUGUUGCCCGAAAGGAGAUAAGGGAAAAGACAGAGUGCGCCCCUCUGACCAGAAGUUAGGAGAGCAAAGGGGGCGGUAACACCAAAAAGGGGAGGAGAAGCCAGAGAGACCCUUGCCUUGCAAUAAGGCUUAGCCCAUUAUUACUGCAUUUUAUUUAACUUGCUAUUAUAAUUAUGAUUAGUAUUAUUAUCGUGAUUGAUUUGUUUCCGCAAAAAACAAAUUUUCACAAAAUGCAAAUUACAGCUUGUCUCCCGUUUGACUGAGCUGAGGCUUCAGUGUGUUCUCAGUUUGGAGAGUCUGAGCUGAGUCUUCGCUUCUGCUUUUGGCUGGAAGGAAACAAAUGUUCUAGUAACUCUGAGAGGCCCUAGUUCUGCCAAAUAGAAGACAAGAGUCGUUGCCGCUUCCCUGCUCUCUCUGCCUCUCCUCCCGUGGCUCGUAGUUGAGGCUGGAGUUGCUAAGACCUGCAGAAGGAGCUCAAGGAGGCAAGAAAAGAAAAUGAGAACAGGAAACAUGCCCCAAAUCUCUCUCCAACAGUGGCUGCACAGACAGUUUCCCUAAACUGUUGUGUGCGUUCAGGGAGCGAGCGUGCAUGGGUGUGCGGGCUGGCGGGUGCGCAGCUGUCUGGGAGACAGAUGGCUCUGGGGUCAGGUUCUGACUAACUGCCCCCUCCCCUGACAGAUGCCAGUGAGGGCUGCACCGUGGUUGGUGGGGGCGUCCAGCCCUACCUAUAGGAGGCCCGUGCGCGGCAACGCAAGUAGGUGUCACAAUUGCUUUGGAAAAAAAAAGUCAGCAGCAGGCCAUUCUCUCUCCCCAAGUUCAUAAAUAUACAGAUAUAAAAAAACACGUCUCUAAACCCGGACCACAUCUUGUGCCACUGUAAAGGACAAGGAGCCACAGACUCUAACGGAACAGACUUUUGUUGGACAUACCGUGAAUUUGUUGGCAUAGUAUAGCUUCCCCAAUGUAUGUGUGACUUUUGAAAACAAUCUUUUUUCUCAGGAUAUCUUGAAUUGAUCACUUCAUUGCCACGGUAUAUAUUCUAUAGCUGUGAUAGGAUUUACUGUAAAAUUUAUUUGUAAAAGAUGUACACAGUAGAAAUAAAAUGUGAUUGAAAAACUUGAGUACUUAAGAA
This 1264-nucleotide long non-coding RNA is filed under the name Ursus maritimus (polar bear). RNAcentral describes it as "lncRNA (ENSUMAG00000021502.1)". The record is from RNAcentral. Lineage: Eukaryota; Metazoa; Chordata; Mammalia; Carnivora; Ursidae.